UCUAUUGUAGUCUAGUUGGUUAGGAUACUCGGCUCUCACCGAGAAACCCAGUUCAAUUCCUGGCAACGGAA
RNAcentral lists this transfer RNA (71 nucleotides) under Ipomoea nil (Japanese morning glory). It matches the Rfam family "tRNA". Rfam says of the family: Transfer RNA (tRNA) molecules are approximately 80 nucleotides in length. Their secondary structure includes four short double-helical elements and three loops (D, anti-codon, and T loops). Further hydrogen bonds mediate the characteristic L-shaped molecular structure. tRNAs have two regions of fundamental functional importance: the anti-codon, which is responsible for specific mRNA codon recognition, and the 3' end, to which the tRNAs corresponding amino acid is attached (by aminoacyl-tRNA synthetases). tRNAs cope with the degeneracy of the genetic code in two manners: having more than one tRNA (with a specific anti-codon) for a particular amino acid; and 'wobble' base-pairing, i.e. permitting non-standard base-pairing at the 3rd anti-codon position. The record is from Rfam by way of RNAcentral. Lineage: Eukaryota; Viridiplantae; Streptophyta; Magnoliopsida; Solanales; Convolvulaceae.